RNAcentral lists this ribosomal RNA (468 nucleotides) under uncultured bacterium. Its description in RNAcentral is "partial 16S ribosomal RNA". It matches the Rfam family "Bacterial small subunit ribosomal RNA", at positions 28 to 507 of the family's 1533-position model. The record is from RNAcentral.
GACGAACGCUGGCGGCGUGCUUAACACAUGCAAGUCGAACGGAAAGGCCCUGCUUUUGUGGGGUGCUCGAGUCGCGAACGGGUGAGUAACACGUGAGUAACCUGCCCUUGACUUUGGGAUAACUUCAGGAAACUAGGGCUAAUACCGGAUAGGAUCUCCUGCUGCAUGGUGGGGGUUGGAAAUUUUCGGCGGUUGGGGAUGGACUCGCGGCUUAUCAGCUUGUUGGUGGGGUAGUGGCUUACCAAGGCUUUGACGGGUAGCCGGCCUGAGAGGGUGACCGGCCACAUUGGGACUGAGAUACGGCCCAGACUCCUACGGGAGGCAGCAGUGGGGAAUAUUGCACAAUGGGCGGAAGCCUGAUGCAGCAACGCCGCGUGCGGGAUGACGGCCUUCGGGUUGUGAACCGCUUUCGCCUGUGACGAAGCGUGAGUGACGGUAAUGGGUAAAGAAGCACCGGCUAACUACGUG